RNAcentral lists this ribosomal RNA (381 nucleotides) under uncultured eukaryote. RNAcentral describes it as "partial 18S ribosomal RNA". It matches the Rfam family "Eukaryotic small subunit ribosomal RNA", at positions 592 to 975 of the family's 1831-position model. The record is from RNAcentral.
CAAUAGCGUAUAUUAAAGUUGUUGCAGUUAAAAAGCUCGUAGUUGGAUUUCUGGUGAGUUCGUUUGGCCGGCCGUAAAGGUCUGUGCCGAAAUGUUAUUCGCCAUCCUUGGUGUAAUCUUGUCCGCCAUUAAGUUGUGUGGGCUUGAGGAUGCCAUCGUUUACUGUGAAAAAAUUAGAGUGUUCAAAGCAGGCUUAUGCCGUUGAAUACAUUAGCAUGGAAUAAUAAGAUAGGACCCUGGUACUAUUUUGUUGGUUUGCGUACCUAGGUAAUGAUUAAUAGGGACAGUUGGGGGUAUUUGUAUUCCGUUGUCAGAGGUGAAAUUCUUGGAUUUACGGAAGACAAACUACUGCGAANGNAUUUACNAAGGAUGUUUNCAUUA